AUAUGCCUGCCCUGUUGGUGAUAAGGUGAGAAUAUUGAUCCGGCAAAUUAGAUCUUUUGGGAGCCCGGGUAGAGGGUUGGUGUGCAGGCCCCGCAUCAAAAGAGCGGGGAAGCCUGAAGACUCUUUCAGGGUACCCACCUAUUUUUUAGGCGGAUCUAAUUUCUCCUUACACGGCAGGGCGGGUUUAUU
RNAcentral lists this non-coding RNA (189 nucleotides) under Nitrospirota bacterium. RNAcentral's name for it is "Nitrospirae bacterium (volcano metagenome) 6S RNA". It matches the Rfam family "6S / SsrS RNA". Rfam says of the family: E. coli 6S RNA was the first non coding RNA to be sequenced, but its function was unknown until recently. It consists of 184 nucleotides that fold into an extended hairpin structure with a large single-stranded internal bulge. RNAcentral also lists the same sequence under 1 other name. Lineage: Bacteria; Pseudomonadati; Nitrospirota. The record is from RNAcentral.